AUUGAACGCUGGCGGCAUGCCUUACACAUGCAAGUCGAACGGUAACAGGUCUUCGGAUGCUGACGAGUGGCGAACGGGUGAGUAAUACAUCGGAACGUGCCCAGACGUGGGGGAUAACGAGGCGAAAGCUUUGCUAAUACCGCAUACGAUCUAAGGAUGAAAGCAGGGGACCGCAAGGCCUUGCGCGUUUGGAGCGGCCGAUGGCAGAUUGGGUAGUUGGUGGGAUAAAAGCUUACCAAGCCGACGAUCUGUAGCUGGUCUGAGAGGACGACCAGCCACACUGGGACUUAGACACGUCCCAGACUCCGACGGGAGGCAGCAGUGGGGAAUUUUGGACAAUGGGCGAAAUCCUGAGCCAGCAAGGCCGCGUGCAGGAUGAAGGCUUUCGGGUUUUAAACUGCUCUUGUACGGAACGAAAAGGCUCUGGCUAAUACCUGGGGCACAUGACGGUACCGUAAGAAUAAGCACCGGCUAACUACGUG
RNAcentral lists this ribosomal RNA (482 nucleotides) under uncultured bacterium. RNAcentral's name for it is "partial 16S ribosomal RNA". It matches the Rfam family "Bacterial small subunit ribosomal RNA", at positions 30 to 507 of the family's 1533-position model. The record is from RNAcentral.